Molecule: ribosomal RNA, 253 nt
Filed under: uncultured bacterium
Lineage: Bacteria
Description: partial 16S ribosomal RNA
Rfam family: Bacterial small subunit ribosomal RNA
Source: RNAcentral
UACGUAGGGCGCGAGCGUUGUCCGGAAUUAUUGGGCGUAAAGAGCUCGUAGGCGGCCUGUUGCGUCCGCUGUGAAAUCCCGGGGCUCAACCCUGGGCGUGCAGUGGAUACGGGCAGGCUGGAGGCAGGCAGGGGAGAACGGAAUUCCCGGUGUAGCGGUGAAAUUCGUAGAUAUCGAGAGGAACACCUGUGGCGAAGGCGGCCAACUGGACGAGUACUGACGCUGAGGCACGAAAGCGUGGGGAGCAAACAGG